RNAcentral lists this unclassified non-coding RNA (613 nucleotides) under Hevea brasiliensis (rubber tree). Lineage: Eukaryota; Viridiplantae; Streptophyta; Magnoliopsida; Malpighiales; Euphorbiaceae. The record is from RNAcentral.
AUGGUAUUUAAGGGAGACAAUCUUGGCUUUAUGCCUUUAUUGAAAAAUUAACAUUCACAUUUCCUUCCUUUUCAUCUUUUCCGUCUUUCUUUUUGUUUGAGAAUUUCAUGUAAUUUGUGGACAACACAAGGCCAUACUAUUUUGAGCAUACUAUAUUAUUUCAAUAAUGGCCUCCAUAUUACUCAAGAAUGUACAAUUGCAAUUCUUGGCAUUUACAAAGGUCUAAGAACUUGGUCUCUUGAUAUAGUGGUAGUCCGAGUAAAUCCUGGUUUCUUGAGAUAGGAGAAAAAUUGCUUAGUAUUAAUUACUAAAGAACAAUUCAAAAGCAACUUUUGUUUCAUUCUACAAACUUAGCCGUUAGAAAAGAGAAUGUUCAAGUUUAAUGUUAGGAUUUCAGAUAUUUCAAUGCUUCAUAAUAUAAAAGGAAUGGCUGAAAAGAUUCAAUCCAUUUUGUAUGACAAGUUGACAACAGUUUAAGUAUGUUGUCUUGGUCAUUCAAAUAUUUCAAUACUUCAUAAUUAGAAAAGACAACAAACUCUUGGUGAUAGGCUAAUUUGCAAGUGCAUGAAAUCGCAACAAGUAACAAAGUGAUAAGAAGUAUUGUUCCUUCAAG